RNAcentral lists this ribosomal RNA (249 nucleotides) under uncultured prokaryote. RNAcentral describes it as "partial 16S rRNA". It matches the Rfam family "Bacterial small subunit ribosomal RNA", at positions 525 to 775 of the family's 1533-position model. The record is from RNAcentral.
ACGUAGGGGGCAAGCGUUAUCCGGAUUUAUUGGGCGUAAGGGUGCGUUGGUGGUUUUUUAAGCGGGAGGGGAAAGGCACUAGCUUAACUAUUGUAAGUCUUGCGAACUGGAAGACUUGAGUGCAGGAGAGGAAAGUGGAAUUCCUAGUGUAGCGGUGAAAUGCGUAGAUAUUAGGAGGAACACCAGUGGCGAAGGCGACUAACUGGACUGUAACUGACACUGAGGCACGAAAGCGUGGGGAGCAAACAG